CGCGGUCCUUUGACCCCGUGCUGUUGCCGAGGGGCCCAGCGGAGACCUUUGCGUGCUGUCGGUGGUUCGCUGCAACCAGCGAGGCCCUGGACACAGCUUUGAUUCUUCGGGACAACAUCCAAGAGGCGCGGGGCGAAGGCAGGGAGAGAAUAUUAGGAUGGAGGAGCGUCUUGACGUUUGCGGACGCCAAAGUUCCUCUUAAAGGGGGCGAGGUUUCCAGGGCCACGCGGGACGAGGCCACGCCGCAGGAAUUUUCAGCAGAUGACCUAAUCCUCCUGUGUCUGAGGCCCGGGGAGGCCAUUUCACUUCUCUCACCUCUGGGGACUCAAAGUUGAUAUCUGUCUCAACCAGAACUCAAGGCCUCGAUCCCUGUCUUUCUAUUCCUGCCAAAUGCUGAUACCAACGAAACCCUCCCCUUUGCUACAUAAGGUAAGUAACAACCCCAAAACACAGGAAGGCUGGGACCUGCAACUUCAACUCAAGGAUUUUUUCCCCCAGCUGGCAAAUUAAUCCAUCAAGUUGCAGGAAAGCAGCAAAUUUAAUUGCAGUGCUUUCAUCCAUUUAAUAACUCACAAUUUCCUUAAGGAUCUUACAGAAGCCAGUUCAAUGAUUUCAGUUCUUGAUUAUGGCAUCUUGAUGAACUUUCCAAGAGCUCACAGCCUCAAGCAGGGUUUCUCAAAAUGUGUGCACUGGCUCAUACAUACAACAGUGUGUAGUACAGCUGCAAGACAUGAGGCACAGGCUACUUUUCCAACUCCAUCCAGAAUCACUGAAUUAGAAUCGUAAUCAGAAUCUCCAGGCAAAAGUGCUUGGCACAAUAGUUAAGACACUGCUUGGGACACCCACAUCCCGUAUCAGAAUGCCUGGUUUGGAAUCACAGCUCUGCUCCUGAUUCCAGCUUCCUGCUAAUGCCCGUCCUAGGAGGCAGUAGGUGGUAAUUCAACAUCUGGGUCCCUUUCACUCAUGUAGGAGAUCUGGAUUGAGUUCCCAGGGUCCAUUGCAGGGAAUCAGGAGAUGGGAGCUCUCGACCUCCAAGGAGGAAGAGAAAGGAAUGGAGGGAGGUAGAGAAGGUUUUUAAAAAAGAAAAUCUUUAAGCAUGGACUCUGGAAUUUUUAAACAAGUCUUCCAGGUGAUUCUCAUGUACUCAGAGGUUAAGUCAUAGUCAUCUUAGUUUCAAACCAUUCAUAAUUUUUAAAAAAAGAUUUAUUUUAUUUAUUUGAAAGACAGAGUUACAGAGAUGUAGAGCCAGAAAGACAGGUCUUCCAUCUGCUGGUUCUCUCCACAAAAGGCUGCAACAGCCACAGCUGCUUCUUCUGGGUCUCCCACACGGGUGCAGGAACCCAAGGAUUUGGGCCAUCUUCUUUUUUUAAAAAAAGAUUUAUUUAUUUGAAAGUCAGAGUUACACAGAGAGAGGUCUUCCAUCAGAUGGUUCACUCCCCAGUUGGCCACAACGGCUUGAGGUGUGCCAAUCCAAAGCCAGGAACCAGUAGCUUCUUCUGGGUCUCCCACAUGGGUGCAGGGGCCCAGGGACUUGGGCCAUCUUCCACUGCUAUCCCAGGCCACAGCAGAGAGCUGGAUUGGAAGUGGAGCAGCCGGGUCUUGAACCAGCGCCCACAAGGGAUGCCGGCACUUCAGGCCAGGGCUUUAACCUGCUGCACCACAGCACCGGCCCCAUGGGCCAUCUUCUACUGCUUUUCCAGGCCAUAGCAGAGAGCUGGAUUGAAGUGGAACAGCCGGGACUAGCACCUAUAAGGGAUGAUGACACUGCAGGCCAGGGCUUUAACCUGCUGCACCACAGUGCUGGCCCCUGUAAAUAAUUUUUUUUCAUUCUGAGAAGACUGCUUCACGCUCUGGGCUUUAGCUCACAAGCCCGUCUCUUAAGAAAACAGAGACAACUGUCUCCAUCCUACCUGGGCUCCUCUGAGGAUACAGCAGAACGGAACUUUCCCAGUUGCUUGUGGGAAACAGUCCAGGUCUCCCUUCUUCACAAUCUUUUACAUGCAUGUAAGUUGUACAAAACACUUAACCCCUAAGGGUACAUCACUGUGUGCAGCACCCUCUGUCCUCAAGUUUGUAAUAAACACCUUCAAGUGGUCACCCUGAUGCUUAAUGCUUCAGUUUUGAAAUCCAAACCAAAUCUCAGAACUGUCUAGGACAGUCUACAGUGGGAAUGUCCCAGUCUCCAUUUCUGGAGCAAUUCCAGCAGUACAUUCUAAGAGAAUACUCACGGUUUUAGAAAGGUUUACCAAGAAAAUACUAGUAACUGGUAUAUACAUAUGUAUAUAUUUUUUCUUUUAAAGAUUUGUUUAUUUAUUUGAAAGUCAGAGUUACAGAAAGGAGGCAGAGAGGGAAAGAGACACGCCCACUUGGGAUGUCAGCACUGCAAAUGGUAGCUUUACCCACUAUGCCACAGCACUGACUCCCUGUAUAUUUUUUUCUCCCAUAUUCUGUGACCUGCUGGCAUUACUGCAGGGAUGUAAGGCUUAUUCACAUUGAAAAAAAAAAUAUGGGAGCCGGUUCAAGUCCCAGCUGCUCCACUUCUGAUCCAGCUCUCUGCUGUGCCCUGAGAAAGCAGUAGAAGAUGGCUCAAGUCCUUGGGCCCCUGCACCUGCGUGGGAGACCCAGAAGAAGCUCCUGGCUCCUGGCUUCAGAUCGGCCCAGCUCCGGCCAUUGUGGCCAACUAGGGAGUGAAUUAGCGGAUGGAAGACCUUUCUCUUUCUCUCUCUCUCUCUCUCUCUCUCUCUCUCUCUCUGCCUCUGCCUCUGCCUCUCAGUACCUCUGCCUUUCAAAUAAAUAAAUUAAUUAAAAAAAAAAGAUGUGGUCAUAUUAGAGAGGAAAAACCAUCUGACAAGCACCUA
Molecule: non-coding RNA, 2858 nt
Organism: Oryctolagus cuniculus (rabbit)
Lineage: Eukaryota; Metazoa; Chordata; Mammalia; Lagomorpha; Leporidae
Source: RefSeq, a predicted model, not a curated record